This 468-nucleotide ribosomal RNA is filed under the name uncultured bacterium. RNAcentral describes it as "partial 16S ribosomal RNA". It matches the Rfam family "Bacterial small subunit ribosomal RNA", at positions 28 to 507 of the family's 1533-position model. The record is from RNAcentral.
GAUGAACGCUGACAGAAUGCUUAACACAUGCAAGUCUACUUGAAUUUGGGUUUUUUAACUUAGAUUUGGGUGGCGGACGGGUGAGUAACGCGUAAAGAACUUGCCUCACAGCUAGGGACAACAUUUGGAAACGAAUGCUAAUACCUGAUAUUAUGAUUAUAAGGCAUCUUAGAAUUAUGAAAGCUAUAUGCGCUGUGAGAGAGCUUUGCGUCCCACUAGCUAGUUGGAGAGGUAACGGCUCACCAAGGCGAUGAUGGGUAGCCGGCCUGAGAGGGUGAACGGCCACAAGGGGACUGAGACACGGCCCUUACUCCUACGGGAGGCAGCAGUGGGGAAUAUUGGACAAUGGACCAAGAGUCUGAUCCAGCAAUUCUGUGUGCACGAUGACGUUUUUCGGAAUGUAAAGUGCUUUCAGUUGGGAAGAAAAAAAUGACGGUACCAACAGAAGAAGAGACGGCUAAAUACGUG